CUGACAUUUGCUGUUUUCAUUGUAUCUCUGCUAGGUUUUGGUGUCAAAAUGAUGCUGGACUCAUAGAAGGAAUUACAGAGGAAUCCUUCCUUCUAAGUUUUUGAAAUAAUUUCUGUAGGAUUGGUAUCAGCUCUUCAUUAUAUGUCUGCUAUAAUUUGGCUGUGAAUUCAUCUGUUCCAGAGCCUUUUCUGGUUUGGGUGGGGAUAAAUGGAUCAAACUGAUCACUUUGACAUUUUCAGUUGUUUUAGAGGCUUUGAUGCUUUCAAAACAAUUAUUGAGCAGUAGAAAGAGAAGUCUGGAUUCACAGAUAUCCUCAGUGCCCUUGCAGCACACAAACAUUUAAGAAAGAUACUUCUUAUGGUG
This 363-nucleotide long non-coding RNA is filed under the name Homo sapiens (human). RNAcentral describes it as "HSALNT0284414". Lineage: Eukaryota; Metazoa; Chordata; Mammalia; Primates; Hominidae. The record is from RNAcentral.